RNAcentral lists this ribosomal RNA (301 nucleotides) under uncultured bacterium. RNAcentral's name for it is "partial 16S ribosomal RNA". It matches the Rfam family "Bacterial small subunit ribosomal RNA", at positions 509 to 808 of the family's 1533-position model. The record is from RNAcentral.
CAGUCGCCACGGUAAUACGUAUGUCACAAGCGUUAUCCGGAUUUAUUGGGCGUAAAGCGCGUCUAGGUGGUUAUGUAAGUCUGAUAUGAAAAUGCAGGGCUCAACUCUGUAUUGCGUUGGAAACUGUGUAACUAGAGUACUGGAGAGGUAAGCGGAACUACAAGUGUAGAGGUGAAAUUCGUAGAUAUUUGUAGGAAUGCCGAUGGGGAAGCCAGCUUACUGGACAGAUACUGACGCUGAAGCGCGAAAGCGUGGGUAGCAAACAGGAUUAGAUACCCCUGUAGUCCCUGUCUCUUAUACC